CGCGCAGGCGGUCGUUCAAGUCGCGUGUGAAAGCCCCCGGCUCAACUGGGGAGGGUCACGCGAUACUGAUCGACUCGAAGGCAGGAGAGGGUAGUGGAAUUCCCGGUGUAGUGGUGAAAUGCGUAGAUAUCGGGAGGAACACCAGUGGCGAAGGCGACUACCUGGCCUGUUUCUUGACGCUGAGGCGCGAAAGCUAGGGGAGCAAACG
This 208-nucleotide ribosomal RNA is filed under the name uncultured bacterium. Its description in RNAcentral is "partial 16S ribosomal RNA". It matches the Rfam family "Bacterial small subunit ribosomal RNA", at positions 568 to 774 of the family's 1533-position model. The record is from RNAcentral.